This 72-nucleotide transfer RNA is filed under the name Dipodomys ordii (Ord's kangaroo rat). It matches the Rfam family "tRNA". Rfam says of the family: Transfer RNA (tRNA) molecules are approximately 80 nucleotides in length. Their secondary structure includes four short double-helical elements and three loops (D, anti-codon, and T loops). The record is from Rfam by way of RNAcentral. Lineage: Eukaryota; Metazoa; Chordata; Mammalia; Rodentia; Heteromyidae.
GGUUAUAUAGCUCAGUGGUAGAGUGCUUACUUUGUAUAUGUAAGGUCUUGGGUUUAAUCCCCAGUAUCAAUG